CGGACCGGCGCGACGGGUGAGUAACGCGUAUGCAACCUACCUAUCAGAGGGGAAUAACCCGGCGAAAGUCGGACUAAUACCGCAUAAAACAGGGGUUCCACAUGGAAAUAUUUGUUAAAGAAUUAUCGCUGAUAGAUGGGCAUGCGUUCCAUUAGAUAGUUGGUGAGGUAACGGCUCACCAAGUCCACGAUGGAUAGGGGUUCUGAGAGGAAGGUCCCCCACACUGGUACUGAGACACGGACCAGACUCCUACGGGAGGCAGCAG
Molecule: ribosomal RNA, 265 nt
Filed under: uncultured bacterium
Lineage: Bacteria
Description: partial 16S ribosomal RNA
Rfam family: Bacterial small subunit ribosomal RNA
Source: RNAcentral